GCCCGGAUGGCCCAGCGGUUACGGCGCGAGGUUGCUAACCUCGUUUCCUCACGGAUUCCCAAGUUCAAAUCUUGGUCCGGGCG
This 83-nucleotide transfer RNA is filed under the name Candidatus Pacearchaeota archaeon. RNAcentral describes it as "tRNA-Ser". It matches the Rfam family "tRNA". Rfam says of the family: Transfer RNA (tRNA) molecules are approximately 80 nucleotides in length. Their secondary structure includes four short double-helical elements and three loops (D, anti-codon, and T loops). Further hydrogen bonds mediate the characteristic L-shaped molecular structure. tRNAs have two regions of fundamental functional importance: the anti-codon, which is responsible for specific mRNA codon recognition, and the 3' end, to which the tRNAs corresponding amino acid is attached (by aminoacyl-tRNA synthetases). tRNAs cope with the degeneracy of the genetic code in two manners: having more than one tRNA (with a specific anti-codon) for a particular amino acid; and 'wobble' base-pairing, i.e. permitting non-standard base-pairing at the 3rd anti-codon position. The record is from RNAcentral. Lineage: Archaea; Nanobdellati.